Molecule: long non-coding RNA, 677 nt
Filed under: Ursus maritimus (polar bear)
Lineage: Eukaryota; Metazoa; Chordata; Mammalia; Carnivora; Ursidae
Description: lncRNA (ENSUMAG00000018477.1)
Source: RNAcentral
GGUAGGAGUUUGCGCAUGAGCAGAAGUGUCGGGAAAACUGGAGAAGGGUUCGGAGGCGGUAUUGACAGCUGUGGAGGCAGCCCGCGUUCCCGGCAUGCCCCGGGGCGGCGGGGUUGGCUCUAACGAAUUUGAAUGAGGAGCCUCAGCGCUUUCGGCGCCAUUUUCGAGUGAUGCCUGAUCUCAUCAAUCUAGCGGGAGAGACGGGAUAACCUGUCCGAGAUUAUAGCGCUACUAGGACUCCGCCGAAAAAUCACCAAAAAAAUCGCCAAAAAUUACUUUGAGCAAAGGGCAGUCCGUGGGGCUUCGCCAGGAUUGGCGCAGACGUCUUUGAAACAUGUCGCAAGGAUAAAAGCAAUCUGUGAAACUAUUGAUGUUUUCCUCCCGAAAAGUCUUAGCCCGGACAACUUAACGGUUUUGACCUUUAGGAGAGAGCCAAUUCUGGAGAACAACCUAACUUCUUUGAUUGAACACUCACAUAAUGCAUUGGAACAUGAUAGGAGAUUAAGCUGGGAGCAGGGGCUGGGAGAUUACUACUGCUUGUCAGCUGUUGUACAAAAUAGCAUCAAUAUGCAAUAAUGGUGGCCAAAGGAGCCUGCACCCACCAGCUUUUACAGACCAGGUAGGAAGGGCCCAACUGUCACUAUAACCUGUAUAUAGUAUAAUGAAUACACUCUUUG